CGUCUGCCUGUGACCCGAGCGGGGGUAAGGGUGUUUGAACGGCCGGGUUUUCCGGUCAGGCCCCGGUCGCUUACCGAUCACGGCUCCGCUUCAAGCCAGCGGUCCGCAGCGGUCGCUCCCGGAGGGGAGCGGUCGUGGCGGUUGCAGAGGCGGGAAUCGCGUCAGGCGGGAAACCGAGCAGCGCAAACCGUCCGCCGUUGGCAGUGAAGGGAUAGGCUG
This 219-nucleotide signal recognition particle RNA is filed under the name Micromonas pusilla. Its description in RNAcentral is "partial Plant signal recognition particle RNA". It matches the Rfam family "Metazoan signal recognition particle RNA", at positions 15 to 246 of the family's 299-position model. Rfam says of the family: The signal recognition particle (SRP) is a universally conserved ribonucleoprotein. It is involved in the co-translational targeting of proteins to membranes. The eukaryotic SRP consists of a 300-nucleotide 7S RNA and six proteins: SRPs 72, 68, 54, 19, 14, and 9. The record is from RNAcentral. Lineage: Eukaryota; Viridiplantae; Chlorophyta; Mamiellophyceae; Mamiellales; Mamiellaceae.